Molecule: ribosomal RNA, 439 nt
Filed under: uncultured bacterium
Lineage: Bacteria
Description: partial 16S ribosomal RNA
Rfam family: Bacterial small subunit ribosomal RNA
Source: RNAcentral
CCUACGGGUGGCAGCAGUAGGGAAUUUUGCGCAAUGGGCGAAAGCCUGACGCCGCAACGCCGCGUGAACGAGACGCCCUUCGGGGUGUAAAGUUCUGUCAGUGGGGACGAAAAAUGACGGUACCCACAGAGGAAGCACCGGCUAACUCCGUGCCAGCAGCCGCGGUAAUACGGAGGGUGCAAGCGUUGUCCGGAAUCAUGGGGCGAAAGGAGUUCGUAGGCGGAAUGUAAGUCAGGUGUUAAAUGGGCAGGCUCAACCUGGGUAUGGAACUGUAUACUUGCAAGCUGGAAUGCGGUAGAGGUAAAGGGAAUUCCUGGUGUAGCGGUGAAAUGCUUAGAUAUCAGGAGGAACAUCGGUGGCGUAAGCGCUUUACUGGGCCGUAAUUGACGCUGAGGAACGAAAGCCAGGGUAGCAAAUGGGAUUAGAUACCCUUGUAGUC